CCUACGGGAGGCAGCAGUGGGGGAUAUUGCACAAUGGGGGAAACCCUGAUGCAGCGACGCCGCGUGUGGGAAGACGGUCCUCUGGAUUGUAAACCACUGUCGCCAGGGACGAAGAUGAUGGUACCUGGGGAGGAAGCUCCGGCUAACUACGUGACAGCAGCCGCGGUAAGACGUGGGGAGCAAGCGUUGUCCGGAAUUACUGGGUGUAAAGGGAGCGUAGGCGGGAUGGCAAGUUGGGUGUUAAAUCUACCGGCUCAACUGGUAGUCGCAGUCAACACCGCUAUUCUUGAGUGAAGUAGAGGCAGGCGGAAUUCGUGGUGUAGCGGUGAAAUGCGUAGAUAUUAGGAAGAACACCGGUGGCGAAGGCAGCCUGCUGGGCUUUUACUGACGCUGAGGCUCGAAAGUGUGGGGAGCGAACAGGAUUAGAUACCCGAGUAGUC
RNAcentral lists this ribosomal RNA (440 nucleotides) under uncultured bacterium. RNAcentral describes it as "partial 16S ribosomal RNA". It matches the Rfam family "Bacterial small subunit ribosomal RNA", at positions 338 to 795 of the family's 1533-position model. The record is from RNAcentral.